This 207-nucleotide long non-coding RNA is filed under the name Elaeis guineensis (African oil palm). Its description in RNAcentral is "long non-coding RNA (EGUI_LNC041772)". The record is from RNAcentral. Lineage: Eukaryota; Viridiplantae; Streptophyta; Magnoliopsida; Arecales; Arecaceae.
CUCCUCAAGCGUUCAUUCAACUCUUCAUCCACCUUGAGGAAAUCCACAAGGAGAUUCUUCAUUUGAGUAAAGUGCAUUUAAUGUUAUAUUCGCUCAUUUAAGGAGCUAUUCUUGUACUUAUUUAUGCUCUAAACUGUCUUACUCUUUGUGAGUAAUUGUUCUUGUUUUUGGAGGGUUUCCAAAAUAAGAGAAGGUUGAUCCGAACCU